Molecule: RNA transcript, 1255 nt
Organism: Quercus lobata
Lineage: Eukaryota; Viridiplantae; Streptophyta; Magnoliopsida; Fagales; Fagaceae
Gene name: INO80 complex subunit D-like
Exons: 3
Source: RefSeq, a predicted model, not a curated record
CUAUAGACUUUUCCUCUAUUAUAUAGGAAAUAGUUUCAAUAGAAAAUUUCACUCUCGCUUUCUGUCUCGCCUGUAUACAGUAUCGGAGCAUAUUCUUCUUCUCCAUGGCUUCCGCUUCCAAGCACCAAAACCCAUAUUCUUCUUCAAAACCUCCCAAACCCCCAAACCCCAACACCCACACUGACACCACAAAUUCUCCUAUCAUCACUCUCACUCCUUCCCAAGAACACCUCUUCCUCACACGCGCCACCCACCUGACACGCCAAGAACUCCUCCGCCGCCGCUGCCACUACCUCAAACAGCUCUGCAAAUGCUACAGAGUCCACUUUUGGGCUCUCAUGGACCAACUCAGAUUCCAAUUCAGACAAUACUGCUGGGACUAUGGUCUCAGCCCCUUCUUGAACGAACAACAACAACAACAACACACGGCUGAAUUUGACGGAGAGAGACACACCCAAUUUGCUAAUCUUGAUGGCAAUGAAGUAUACAGCAGCAACAACGAGAGGUGUGCGUUUGUGGGGUGUAAGUUGAAGUCUAUGCCUUUGACCAACUUUUGCCAUCUCCAUAUUCUCUCCGAUUCCAAACAGAAGCUUUACAAGCCUUGCCAUUAUGUUAUCAAGAGUGCUCAGGCGGGACCGAUAACAUGUGGGAAGCCCAUAAUGAGAUCCACUGUACCUUCUCUCUGUAGCAUCCACUUCCAAAAGGCUCAGAAGAACAUCACAAGAGCCUUGAAGAAGGCUGGACUUAAUGUUUCCACAUCAAGUAAGCUUGCUUCCAAUUUCCAUGUCAUUGUGGCAGAAUAUGUACGCCAAAUUCAGGCCAAACGGAGGACUGCAAAAAGGGCAAAUAGAAGUAAGGUAGUGGUUAAGGAAGAAAUUGCUGGCUGAGCCUCAUGUCUAUUUACCCCUGGUGCAUGAGUGAUUCUAAAUGAUGGGAAACCUCCGGAGUUGAACUGCUGGCUUGCAACUGGAACAAAGUUGAAGCGUUCAUGUGUUUUUUUGUCAAAUAAAUGUUCAAAGUUGGGAGGUUUUAGGACAUUUGCGGAUUCAUCAAAGAUGCUGCCUGCUUUGCUGGUCAAUUCUGUUGGAUGUUGAACAUUGGGUAUCAAGCAUUUUAAAACUGUGCUUAAAUUCCUCCAUCUUGCCUUAGAAAAUUAGUUUUGACUUAGUAUUGAUUGCUAUUGAAUGUUUGGUAUGUUGAGUCGUACGAAAUGAUGUAUAUAGCUAUUUAAUUUGUGAAGGAGGUCUUGUGGGAA